Molecule: long non-coding RNA, 5402 nt
Filed under: Olea europaea subsp. europaea
Lineage: Eukaryota; Viridiplantae; Streptophyta; Magnoliopsida; Lamiales; Oleaceae
Source: RNAcentral
CAAAGCCUGGUUUGAAUAUGCAUUUGCGGCCUGUCAUUUCACUUUCACACACAGUCCCCACACAUUGUUCGAAUCAUUACUCUCUUCUUUAUAAACUCAUCAUCAUUUCUGCCCUUUUCAGUUUUCUUCGCUUUGCUUGAUGAUCCAUGUUUUGUAGAUGUAGAUAGAAGAAGGGAAUGCAAGAGAAAAAUACUUCACUAUUUGCAGAUUUAGAGCAAAAUGAACCAGCAAGAAUUGCCUCCAAAGAAACCCAAAGGUGGGCUCAUUACCAUGCCAUUCAUUAUAGGUAAGGUCGACAGAACUGAACAUGUCAUUUCUUGAAUCUCGAGGCCCAAAUUUACUAAAAUCUUGUGAUUUGUCUUUGUGGUUUGGCAGCAAAUGAGGCAUUUGAAAAGGUGGCAAGUUAUGGGUUGUUACCCAAUAUGAUAUUUUAUCUGACGAGAGUAUACAAUAUGGGAGUUACAAGAGCUACCAAUAUGAUCUUCUUCUGGUCUGCAGCUACCAAUUUCAUGCCCCUAAUUGGGGCAUUUGUUGCUGAUUCAUUUCUGGGUCGGUUCUUGACCAUUGGCUUUGGAUCUAUCGCCAGUCUUUUGGUAAACUCUUUUCCCUGUUUGCGAAUUAUUAUUUAAUUCUGCUACUAGUAUGGUAUGGUAUAUUAUUAUUUUUAUUUAUUGAAGUUUGUGUCAUAAAGUUUGAAAGUUUCUCAUUUGUACAGUACAGUGAUUCAUUCGAGCCACUACCGAGAUAUACAGGGUUUUCCGUUUUCGGGUGUACUGGAAAGUUAAUUUCUUGAAAUUAUGUUGAGGUUUACCAUUAAAAAAAGUAAAUUUUGUCAGUAAUGAGUAAUGCUAUUUAUCCCACUACGGUUAUAACAUUCAACAUAUCAUUUAGCACAACCUGAACUAAGCCGGUAACCUUGUUCAAUAAAUAUAAGUUUGAAAAUUAAUAGAAGAAAACUGGUAAAUACUUGUUCUUCAGCACAGCCAAACAUUCAAUACAGUAUCUAAUGGCUCUUGCAGUAAUCUGGUUUGAGAUUAGUACUAUUAACUAACAUUAUUGCAUCAACGUUUUUCAUUUUUUUUUAAUAAUUUUAUAUGGAGAGAGCACUUAGGUUAUUACAUUAAUGCUGCUAUAGAUUCUUCUCUUUUGAGUAAAUGUUGUUUUAUGUUCUUGGCCUGGGUAACUUGUCCUCGUGAGCUGCUGAUGAAAUUAAUACUUUUCGUGAUUACUUUGGGUCGAGCAUUGAAUGAAAUUUAUUCUAUUCAUGUAAACUACAAUUUGAGCACCAAGUAUGGUGCCAAUUUUACAAUAUGCUACCAAAAGUUGUAGCUGGUGAGCGAUGGUGCCACCGUCGAUGUUAAACCUUGAAUAAGUGAAUAUUCGUAACAAAGACAUCAAGGGAUCUCUUCUAUGCUCCUUCAAUGCUCAAGUUAGCAAAGGGAGAAAUGCAUUAUCACAUAUGUAAAACUGGAUAGGAUCACGUACCUUUUGUGAGGUGAGAGAGGCCCUACUCAUACAGGUUAAGAGCCUUAUGGCGGCUUGGGAGUUCCAGCAUAUCGGCUAUCUGCAAUUUUCAAAGUAUUGAUUUUGAAAGUUUAUAAAUGGAUCGAUUUUGAGUGGUUUUAGUAGAUAUUUUUAAAAUUGUCCGACCUAUUCUUGGAAGUUUAUUACUCACUGGUUCUGAAAUUUUUUUAAAAGAAUAAAAUUACAUAUGUGUUUCUUAGUAAAAACUUUUGAUUUAUAAUUUCUCAUAUGAAAUUUUUUACUUAUAUAAGUGAUAUUUUACUUUUAAGUAAUUUUCUUACAUAUAAGUUAACAUUUAACUUUAAAAAUUGAAUAAAAUUAAGUAUCUACUUGAAAUUUUAAGUUAAUAUAUUUUUUACUUGUAAGUAAAUUUCAUAAUCAUAAUUAUAAGUUAUUUUAUUCUUCUAAAUAUUUUAAGUGAAUUUUUUUACUUAUAUGUACCUUUUUAUGUAAGUGAAUUUUUUUUAUCUUAUUAGUAGUAUUUUUAUUUUAUAAGCAAUUUUUUUUUUUUUUUACAUAAAAUUGGUUUUUUUAAUUAUAUGUAAUUUUUUAAUUUUAUAUAUAUAUAUUUUUAUUUAUUUAUUUAUUUAUUUAUUUUGCUUAUAAGUAAUCUAUUAGUUAAUAUAUAUUUUUACUUACAAGUCUGUUUUGAAGAAAAUAUGUUGGUUGAAAAUAAUUAUUUUAUAGAGGAUAAAAUUAGAAGAAAAUAUGGGAAACAAUCAAAACCCGUGGAUUUGGUGAGUUGAGAGAACUAGUCAAAAUUACACUACACAAAUUUUGGCAAUUUUUAAACCAUCCAAAAUCAGUGCCCAAAAACACUAACAAACACCUGUUUUUCCAACCACCCAAAACCGGUGAAAAGAUCUCCCAAGCAGGCCCCCAGGCUAUCUGUUACUUAGCUCCAUGGGUUGGAGUCAACUAAGACAUUUUCUUAGGGCAUGACGAUUCUUUCCAUUAGAGGGUUUAGUCCUAGCCUCCUAGGAGACACUUUAGUACGUUAAAGGGUCCCCAAGGAGUGCACUUUCACGAUGCAGUGGUGCGUUCCUUGAGGAAUGAGGACUCAGUAUACUUGCACACAUCCGUAAUAGGUCGGUCCCUAGAGGCACGAUCUUCAGAUUGGGCCCCGAGCCCAAUAUCUCCAUCUAGGGAUGAACCAUAAUUGGGUGGGCUCGUUUGGUUUUUGCCUGGUCAGCAUAAGCUAUUCAUCAAACCAGGUGAAUUAUGUGUGCACUUCCACAAAUGCAUGAUCCUGAAUGUGUCUCUAAACAAAGACUCGUCUGAAUGUUCUAUUUCAUUUAUCAGGGGAUGAUCCUUCUAUGGCUAACAGCUAUGGUUUCCAAAGCAAGUCCUUCACCUUGUGAUCAAUUGGCCCACAGCUGUAAAUUUCCCUCACAGGCACAAUAUGCUCUCCUGAUUUCCUCAUUUGGCCUUAUAUCCGUUGGUGCUGGUGGCAUUAGGCCAUGCUCCUUAGCAUUUGGAGCCAAUCAGCUAGACAAAAGAGACAAUCCCAACAAUGAUAGGGUGCUAGAAAGCUUCUUUAGUUGGUAUUAUGCUUCAGCAGCUGUUUCAGUUCUUAUUGCUCUAACCGGCAUUGUUUAUAUUCAAGAUCACUUGGGAUGGAAAAUAGGUUUUGGAGUUCCUGCACUUCUCAUGUUUGUCUCGACUCUACUCUUUUUCCUUGCAUCAUCAUUGUAUGUCAAACAGAAAGCAAGCAAGAGCUUGUUUACUGGCUUUGUGCAGGUCCUUGUAGUCGCAUACAAAAACAGAAAGCUAGCGCUUCCCUGUAACUCAAAUCUUUAUCAUCAUGAGAAAGGCUCUGAACUUACCAUGCCAACUGACAAGCUAAGGUACUAUGAUGAACUCCAAAAAUAUUAGUAUUAUUUAGCAUUGAACGUUAUCCAUUCUAAUUCGCUCAUUGUUCGUUUCUAUAUUCCAGGUUCUUAAACAAGGCUUGUAUUAUCAAGAAUCCUGAAGAUAUAUCUUCUUCCGGAGUAGUUUCGAACGGGUGGAAUUUAUGCACGAUAGAACAAGUGGAGGAGUUAAAAGCACUUAUAAAAGUCAUCCCUAUAUGGUCUACCGGGAUAAUGGUAUCAAUAAACAUAAGCCAAAGUUCAUUUCCCUUGCUUCAAGCUAGCUCCAUGUAUAGACAUAUAACUUCAAGCUUUGAAAUUCCAGCUGGCUCCUUUGGGAUGUUUACGAUCAUUACUAUAUCGAUUUGGGUUGUUCUAUAUGAUCGUGUAAUUAUACCACUGGCAUCGAAACUUAUAGGGAAGAAGGUGCAUCUUGGGGUGAAGUUAAGAAUGGGAAUUGGGAUUUUCUUCUCGUGUAUGGCUAUGGUAGUUUCCGGCACAGUGGAGCACGUUCGUAGGCGCAAGGCAAUCGAGCAAGGAUUAUCGAACAAUCCCCAUGCGGUGGUAAACAUGUCUGCAAUGUGGCUUAUACCUCAACAUAUCUUAAGUGGACUAGCAGAGGCUUUUAACGCAAUCGGCCAAACGGAAUUCUAUUAUUCCGAGUUCCCGAAAAGCAUGUCGAGCAUUGCAUCGUCGCUGUUUGGGGUCGGGAUGGCGAUAGCAAACUUGCUUGCAACUGUUAUACUCAGCUCUGUGGAUAAUCUUACCAGAUCACAAGGGAAAGAGAGUUGGGUUUCUAGCAACAUCAACAAGGGUCACUAUGAGUAUUACUAUUGGCUUCUUGCAAUUAUGACCUUCGUUAAUUUGAUUUAUUUUCUUGUUUGUAGCUGGGUUUAUGGAUCUUGUGUUAAUGAGGUAGCAAAAACUAGUACUGAAGGAAAUGAAUUGGAGGAGGAAAAAUCAUCUGUACCAGGAACACCACUUGGGGUAUUGAUGUCUUAAUUUCUAUCCUAUGAUCUUGAUUGUUGUACUUGAUGUAAAAUUACAUGUUUUUAGUCGUAUAUUUGGUUACUAGCAUAUGCAAAUUUUGUGUACAAUUCGUUUUUAUUUGAAAGCAAGUCCACAAUUGUGACGAGAGUCUAUCCAAUACUACAUAACAAAUGAACUCGAGUGCAUAGUUAUCUUAUCAAACAAGCUAUCAACGAAAUAUAUAAAAAGAUUAUUACACAGAACCACCUGCUUGAAAUGCAACUCAAUUUACCAGAAAAUGUUCUAAAUUAUUCAAAUACAGCAACAUAAUAAAAUCAUCACAGAAGUAAUUCCAAUUGAAUCCAAUCGUCUCUCUUUCUUUCAUCAACUCACCGGCUGCUCAGAUUCCAGUGGAAGCCCAAGCUCCUGCUCCGGCGAAUUCUCCUUCACCUUCCGCGAGUUUCGACUGGGAACUGGAAUCGCCAAAAAACUCUUGUUCUUGCUAAUGGGCUUGCUUUUUUCCAGCUGAACAAUAUCCCCAACUUGGAAUUGGUUCAGUGGGUCAUGGACUUGGUACUUCUUCUUGAUUCUAACCCGGCGCUUGUACUUUGGGUGUGGAGCAAGGCGCACAACCUCCACGGCUACGGUCUUGUCGUUGGUGGCGCAAACUACCUUGCCUUGAAGGGUCCUCAUCGCUUUGAUCACCGGGAGGAAUGGCGGCUGCUGCGGUGGUGUGACGGCAGAGGAUUUGAGGAGGUGGGAGCAGGGGGUCGAACCAUGGAUGAAUUGGGUGGUGAGGGAUAGGGAUUUGAAUUGGGGGACUGAAGCCGAGGUCGGAAACAUUUUCUUUUGGCUUGAAGAGGAUAGGGAGCGAAUUCCUAUAUCCCGUACACGGAUAAAAACGUGUAUUCAAAAAAGCGAUUUCUAGUACAGCGAUAAAAACGUUAAGCUGGAGGUAUAUAGUUGGGAGUAUUGUUGAGGUAUUCAUCAUUUUUCAAAUUCAUUUAAAUUUUGAAGAAGAGUGUGGGUGAACAUUUGUCUCCAAAUCCUUGAAUCGCA